CACGGACCGCACGAACGUUAUUCGGUAUCACUGGGCUUAAAGGGUGCGUAGGCGGCUUGGCAAGUUGGGUGUGAAAUCUCGGAGCUUAACUCCGAAACUGCAUUCGAUACUGCCGUGCUUGAGGACUGGAGAGGAGACUGGAAUUUACGGUGUAGCGGUGAAAUGCGUAGAUAUCGUAAGGAAGACCAGUGGCGAAGGCGGGUCUCUGGACAGUUCCUGACGCUGAGGCACGAAGGUCAGGGGAGCAAACGGG
This 253-nucleotide ribosomal RNA is filed under the name uncultured bacterium. Its description in RNAcentral is "partial 16S ribosomal RNA". It matches the Rfam family "Bacterial small subunit ribosomal RNA", at positions 524 to 776 of the family's 1533-position model. The record is from RNAcentral.